RNAcentral lists this ribosomal RNA (253 nucleotides) under uncultured bacterium. Its description in RNAcentral is "partial 16S ribosomal RNA". It matches the Rfam family "Bacterial small subunit ribosomal RNA", at positions 524 to 776 of the family's 1533-position model. The record is from RNAcentral.
GACGGAGGAUGCAAGCGUUAUCCGGAAUGAUUGGGCGUAAAGCGUCCGCAGGUGGCAGUUCAAGUCUGCUGUCAAAAACCGGGGCUUAACUUCGGAAAGGCAGUGGAAACUGAACAGCUAGAGUAUGGUAGGGGCAGAGGGAAUUCCUGGUGUAGCGGUGAAAUGCGUAGAGAUCAGGAAGAACAUCGGUGGCGAAGGCACUCUGCUGGACCAUAACUGACACUCAGGGACGAAAGCUAGGGGAGCGAAUGGG